UCCCAGGUGGCUCAGAUGGUAAAGUGUCUGCUUGCAAUGCAGGAGACACAGGUUCAAUCCCUGGGUCAGGAA
RNAcentral lists this transfer RNA (72 nucleotides) under Ovis aries (sheep). It matches the Rfam family "tRNA". Rfam says of the family: Transfer RNA (tRNA) molecules are approximately 80 nucleotides in length. Their secondary structure includes four short double-helical elements and three loops (D, anti-codon, and T loops). Lineage: Eukaryota; Metazoa; Chordata; Mammalia; Artiodactyla; Bovidae. The record is from Rfam by way of RNAcentral.